This 601-nucleotide long non-coding RNA is filed under the name Parus major (Great Tit). Its description in RNAcentral is "lncRNA (ENSPMJG00000002850.1)". Lineage: Eukaryota; Metazoa; Chordata; Aves; Passeriformes; Paridae. The record is from RNAcentral.
GUAACUUCUUCUGCAUGGUGCCCCACACUGCAGAGUUCAGAGUGAGCAGUCCCCAAUACAGCCCUGAACGCAGAAAAUCAGAUGCCUGCAGACCUUGAUGCUCAAACCAAAGGAUGCUGCUCUUGUACCUAUUUUUGUGUUUUCUCACAAGAGGACUUCAGACUAAAGGAUCUAGAGGUACUUUUGGAUUGCUGUGAAGGCAGCUCUCAGAGGGAAGCCAUGGACAAUCUGCUCAGGAUGAAGAGAAAACCCUGGAAGUGGAAACUUCUGGGGAAGCUUCUGAAGAAGCAUCCUUCCCUGGACUCCAGCUUCUGCUGGACAACUGCAGAACUGCAAACAACUGUUUGGGAACAGCAAACAUCUCUGAUGGUAAAGCUAACAGGAGGUCCUGCACUGUGGCACAGGGCAAGUGCUGGUUCUGGAGAUCACCUUGGCAUGGCAGCAGAGCAGUGAGUGCAUUCAUAACAACUCAAUUUAGUGUCAUAAAACCAGAAACAUUCUGAUGGGAGAAGGAAAAUAUUUCAUCUGUGAAUUUCCCUUGGCUUUGUUGCAGAUCAGAUUCAGGUCUCCAAGAAGUCUUUGUUCAGGGAACUGUUCGUAG